UCCGGGAUGUCUGGAGCGCUUGUUGCCGUGGUUCACUCAUUCAGACUUCUUGAGCUUAGAUGAUAAAAAUGUCCCACCAGGACUUAAUUUAUGAGCAAAUUAGCUGUCAAAACAGUCCCAUGGUUUGUUAACAAAAAUGCCGUGGCUGCAGGAUUACACUUUAUAUAACUUUAAUAAUAGGCCACUACACAUAAAUGGCUAAAUCAGCCACUGCAAUAAUCAAACGUGGACAAGUUGGAGGAUACAUUUAAAGCAAACGAAGUUAAAUGAAGUGCACCAGUCCCUCCUGCAGCAAAGCACCCCCACAACAUGAUGCUGCCACCCUCAUGCUUCACGGUUGGGAUGGUGUUCUUCGGCUUGCAAGCCUCACAAAAAAGUUCAAGUUUUGUUUCAUCAGACCAGAGGACGUUUCUCCAAAAUCAUCUUCACAAGGUCCUUUGCUGUUGUUCUGGGAUUGAUUUGCACUUUUCGCACCAAACUACGUUCAUCUCUAGGAGACAGAAUGCAUCACCUUCCUGAGUGACAAAACUUUGGAGGAUCAGAAGAAAGAGAUCCAGGAGAAGGAUAGGUCGUCUGACCAAGAAACUGUGAAAGAAAGCUCUCUUAAAGCUGCACAUGACAUUAUCUGGAGAUUCUCUAGAUUUCCUGGAAGGAGGGAUAAAGAGUAGGGCUGUGCCAAUACAAUCAAAUAUCAAUAUAUCGUGAUACUUUUUCUCAUGCUAUUGUAUCAAUCCCAGUAUCAAUAUUUUUUAAAAAAAUUUUUGUGUGUGUGUAUUUAUAUCAUGCCCAACAGUUCAAUAAAG
Long non-coding RNA from Myxocyprinus asiaticus (Chinese sucker), 803 nucleotides. RefSeq lists it as uncharacterized. NCBI's taxonomy places the organism in Eukaryota, Metazoa, Chordata, Actinopteri, Cypriniformes, Catostomidae. The transcript has 4 exons. The record is from RefSeq and is a predicted model, not a curated record.